AAUUUUCAGAUUUGCUUAGUCAGAUAAUAUUCUAUGGUUUUGAUGAUGAUUCUUUCUCUUAUUUUAUAUAAAUAUAUAUUUUUUUUCUUCAUAGUUAAUCUAGUAAAUAAUAGUAGAAUAAUUGCUCUAGCAGCUACAAAGAGGUUUUCUACACCUGCACAAGAGAUUCUUAUGGAAGAUUGAUAUGCUUGCUGACAAGAAUCUAAAGAAUAACUAUGAUCAAUCUGAUGCUGAAGAGAUGGUCUGCAUGCUUGAAUUAUUCUAAAGAAUAAUUCAAUUGAUGCAGUUGGUAGUAGAAAAUAUUUCCCCAAACCUCAAGUCACCUUAAAACACCAUAAACAUCAGUUGGAAAAAUCCACAUUUUGGGAAGAACUACUGAAUCAAAGUUGCUAUGAUUGCAUUAAGCAGCAUCAAAAGUGAAUCUUGAUCAUCUCCCUUCUGUACUGUUGCCAUUAACAGUGCUAAGAUGGACAAAGGGAAGGCCACCAUGACAACUGAGGGUUGAUUUGGAUAAGGGUUUGCAGGAGGCCCUUUGAUGGGGAUUAGAACACUUGGAUGGUGGCAACUGGACAAGGAUUUGACUCCAUCAUGUCCUACCAAUUCAUGGAUAAGUCAAAGCAAACUUUGAUGGUG
RNAcentral lists this long non-coding RNA (633 nucleotides) under Musa acuminata (dwarf banana). RNAcentral's name for it is "long non-coding RNA (MACU_LNC005430)". The record is from RNAcentral. Lineage: Eukaryota; Viridiplantae; Streptophyta; Magnoliopsida; Zingiberales; Musaceae.